This 384-nucleotide transfer-messenger RNA is filed under the name Prevotellaceae bacterium. RNAcentral describes it as "partial transfer-messenger RNA". It matches the Rfam family "transfer-messenger RNA". Rfam says of the family: Bacterial tmRNA, also known as 10Sa RNA or SsrA, is named for its dual tRNA and mRNA-like properties. Its role is to liberate the mRNA from a stalled ribosome. The record is from RNAcentral. Lineage: Bacteria; Pseudomonadati; Bacteroidota; Bacteroidia; Bacteroidales; Prevotellaceae.
GGGGUUGACUGGAUUUGACAGCGGGCAGAAAUGGUAAGUAAGCAUGCAGUGCGUCGUUGAUUUGCACUUAAAUCUCAGUCUUCAAAAUUUUAUCUGGCGAAACUCGUUACGCUCUUGCUGCGUGAUCGAAUCAUAGUAGAUCACGCUUAAUCUCGGCACCAGGUGUUGAGACGAGACAUCACUCGAAAGCUGUUGCUCCGAAGCAUUUCGGCAAAGUGGUGCAGUAAAAUCGGAGAUAGUUGAGGGUAGCCUCGUACCCUUAAUGAAACUUUAGAGGAUAAGAUUGCGGUUGAUGGCUUUGGUUCUGCCGCAGUUCGAAAACCUAAGCAAAGAUAAGCAUGUAGAAAGCUUAUGAUUUCCUCGUUUGGACGAGGGUUCGAUUCC